AUUGGAAAAUGACGCCAUAGAGGGUGAUAGCCCCGUGAAGAAACCAAAUCCAUCUAUUUCUCUGUUCUCCAAAGAGUCGAGUUGUUUGGGAAUGCAGCUCUAAGUGGGUGGUAAAUUCCAUCUAAAGCUAAAUAUUGGCGAGAGACCGAUAGCGAACAAGUACAGUGAUGGAAAGAUGAAAAGCACUUUGAAAAGAGAGUGAAAAAGUACGUGAAAUUGUUGAAAGGGAAGGGCUUGCAAGCAGACACAACCUCGUGUUGGGCCAGCAUCGGGGCGAGGGGAAGUAAAACAGUCAAGAAAUAUAACUCCCUCCGGGGAGCAUUACAGUCUUUGUCCUACCACUUCCAUCUCAUCCCGAGGCCUGCGAUUCUUCAAGGAUGCUGGCGUAAUGGUUGCAAGUCGCCCGUCU
This 409-nucleotide ribosomal RNA is filed under the name Metschnikowia viticola. RNAcentral describes it as "eukaryotic LSU rRNA". It matches the Rfam family "Eukaryotic large subunit ribosomal RNA", at positions 189 to 654 of the family's 3401-position model. The record is from RNAcentral. Lineage: Eukaryota; Fungi; Ascomycota; Pichiomycetes; Serinales; Metschnikowiaceae.